ACCACCAUCUGUGUUGCCAUAGCAAAGUACAGGGGCAGCAAAUAUCUGGUCUAUGUUUCGACACUGCCCUCUCUAGCUAGACAUUUCUAAUCAAUUCCAGCAAUCCUUCCUCUUGACCCAGGAUAUUUAUGCCUCAGAGUCCUGUGCCCCGGGCAGCUGUUAGCAGAUGGGACGACUGAACGAUGAAACCUCUUUGCUGUCUCUGGGAUGGUGAAGGGCAUAAGCUUUGCAGGCAAAUGUGUUUAGGAGGUUCAAAUCCCAGUUUUGCCACUUACAAGUUGUGGGAUAUAGAGCAAGAUACUUACAAUAUUUAGCCCUCCAGGUGAUUCUGAGGUGCAUUAAACUAUCCGAACUACAAGCCAGAAGGCAAAGGAGAGCGGCUGGGCAAGGAGAAGUGCGGGAGUGAGAUUGUGGCCAAGUGGGGGCAGACCUGAUGAAAUUAGAGAAGGCACCUCCCCGUCAAGGAAGCUUUGUGUUACAGGUUCCAAUGGAAUAAAUAAGAAACCCCUUCUUGCUCUGAAUUGCAUAUGAACUAGUAUAAAAGGCACCCAAGUCUCUUUCAAAUCCAUGUUCUCCUUAAUUUAUACCACAAAUGUCAGUUCCUGCUGGCCCCUCUGGCCGGUUGUCCUCUCGUAGUCAUUCAAUUCAGUUCAAUAACUUCUGCAUCUAGGAUGGUUUUGAACUCUAUCUGCAGGAAUUUGAAAGGACCUUGUUGGAGGCCUGCAGCAUAUCAUAAAAAUUACGAUAAAAGUCUCAAUGUGUAUGAAGCCCAGUGCCACGGGGCGCCCAGUCAUUGCUUCAUUGAAUCUUCGUAAUGGUCUUAGUGCGGCAGGCGGCACUCUCAUUAUUAUCCCCAAUGCAAAUGAGGACACUUACCCACCCUUAGCUUUGAAAGUGACCUAACCUGCCAGUGUGUGAGCAGCAGGGCCAGGAUUCAAGCCCACGUCUGUCUGAUGCCAAAGCCCACUCUCUUAGCCACAUGCUUUAUGUGACAAAGGAGGAAGGAGUGAGGGAAAUCUGAGGCCACUGACAUCAUUAAGGUAGAAAAGCCAGAACCGGCUGCUCAGGGAUUCUAGAGAGAAACUGGAUGCUGGGAUUAGAGACUCUGCUUGGUGAUUUCAUCAUGAUCUGCCCUCAGCUCAGUCACGUGCUCAUGAACCCGGGAAAGCUCUCUCUAACCAUUGUGUGUGGACUGGGUCCGUCCGACUGCUGUUUAGCCUUCACAAAGACAGAGAAGCUCCACUUCACUAAGAUCGGGGCUCUGCUGUUUCCAUUGCUAUAGGAGGAGACUUCCCAGCACCCACAGAGACAGCUACCAUUUGCUGAUUUAGAAAGCAGAAUGCAAGUCCCACCGUCCUUGUGGGGUGUUCUGGGGGCUGUCCACCUCACGACCCCCUGUGCAGCUUGGAGAUGAGGGAGGAACUAUCCAAAAGACUGUUUGUAUUUUCCCAGGAAUCUAUGGAGUAACUUGCACUUUAGAGCCAUCUAUCUGUCUCCUAAUAUCUACUUAGAUGUUACUGAUCUGCGAGAGUUAGCCGUGAAGUGCACUCUUGAAGAACAAACCUGUGAUGGAGAAAGAAAAUAGAUGUGGUGGUUCCAUUCCCAGAUAAGGGGUUGCCCAAAUGUAAUAUCAGUAAGAAGAAAGUCGCAUUUCUGCAGAGAGAGAGAGAGGUGCUCUCUUCCUUGAUGAUUCCACUUCCAAGGGAUGGCUCCCAGGUCCUUGAGAAAGACUUUCCUGGGCGGGAAAACUGGUGAGAAGCUGGGAGAUGAUUUACAUCUCAAGGGAGUAGAGAAAGAAUUUACAAUGGAAAGUUUUCUAAAGUAAAUGCUGUAAGAAGAGGACGCUCAGGGACUUAUGUUAGGAAGAAAUCUGUCUAAAGAGUAGUCCAGCUGAGGGGAACUCCAAGGCCAUCUAGGUCAGAUCACCCGGCCUUUCCUUGCUCUCCAGGAAGCCAGGUCUCAGAAGUCUCCAACUGAUCGUCCCUUAACAGCGGGGGACCUCACGAUCAUCUGGCGAAGGGACUCUGACUUCCAGCCUCAUCCAACCAGGUGCAAACGAUUCCCUCUGCAGCCUGGUUUUCUGAAGCCCCGUGGGGGUAGAUCCUUGCAGUUUUCUGGCCCCAUCUCCAUCCUGGAGAGGAGAACAUUCACCUAAAUGACAUGCCCAGGACCAAAUGCAUCCACUUCUUCAGGCGAAAAACACGUUUUCAGCUCAGAGAUGAUUCCAUGAGACAAGAGGGUAGUAUGGGGAGGGGGCAAGAGAAUCUUGUAGCCCAAAGACAGAAGCCAGGGACAGAGAGUACCACCUUCCAGAAAUUACCAUCAUAAAGAGCCAAAGCAGUGAGUGCUUGGCCGCCUGCGGCACAGCGGAAAACGGAAAUCUCCUUGGCUGGCGUUUUAGUUUGCCUAAGGGGCCGCGCUUUGCUCAGAGGGGAGGUGACUGUGCUGACCUUAAAAUCCAGACCUCGGGAAGCAGGAGAUGAAGGUAUUUUAUUUUCCCCUAAAGUCUUCGAUAUUUUUCAAAUAAAAAUUUAAAAGAUCCAGUACCUUCCCCUGAAGCCUCUUCACAAAGUAGUGGAUUUUUAGAAAAGACAAAGACCUAGGCGGGGGGUAGGGGGUCCCUAAAGAGCCGCGCCUCAAGCCUGUCUUCCCUCUUUUCGGAGCACUGGGAUUUUCUUAAACGUUCCUUUCCCAACCCCUCCCCCCCUUUUCUUUUUCCCAACGACCUCUUCUUCCAUUCUCUAAAGUACAAGCAGACGGUUGCCCAACAGGUCCUCCUACGCAUCUUUCCUGAGCCCCAAUACCUCUAGAUACUCGUCUCUCUUUUGGGUGGGCAGCUGUUGCCCCUGCCUGGGAACGAGCCAGGCGUGCAGGGGGCGGAGGAGGGAGCUUCCUCCCCC
RNAcentral lists this long non-coding RNA (2900 nucleotides) under Equus asinus (donkey). RNAcentral's name for it is "lncRNA (ENSEASG00005026033.1)". The record is from RNAcentral. Lineage: Eukaryota; Metazoa; Chordata; Mammalia; Perissodactyla; Equidae.